GCGGAAUAUGUCAUGUAGCGGUGAAAUGCAUAGAUAUGACAUGGAACACCAAUUGCGAAGGCAGCUCACUAAGCUAUUACUGACGCUCAUGAACGAAAGCGUGGGGAGCGAACAGGAUUAGAUACCCUGGUAGUCCACGCCGUAAACUAUGAUCACUAGAUGUUGGCGAUAUAUUGUCAGUGUUUUAGAGAAAUCGUUAAGUGAUCCACCUGGGGAGUACGUUCGCAAGAAUGAAACUCAAAGGAAUUGACGGGGGCCCGCACAAGCGGAGGAGCAUGUGGUUUAAUUCGAUGAUACGCGAGGAACCUUACCAAGACUUAAAUGUAUUUUGCUAGAUUGAGAAAUCAAUUUUUCUUCGGACAAUCUACAAGGUGCUGCAUGGUUGUCGUCAGCUCGUGCCGUGAGGUGUCGGGUUAAGUCCCAUAACGAGCGCAACCCCUAUCUCUAGUUACCAGCGAGUAAUGUCGGGAACUCUAGAGAGACUGCCUGUGUAAACAGUGAGGAAGGUGGGGAUGAUGUCAAAUCAUCACGGCCCUUAUGUCUUGGGCUACACACGUGCUACAAUGGUUACUACAGUGGGCUGCCAUCUGGUGACAGAGAGCAAAUCCAUAAAGGUAAUCCCAGUUCGGAUCGGAGUCUGCAACUCGACUCUGUGAAGUUGGAUUCGCUAGUAAUCGUAUAUCAGCAAUGAUACGGUGAAUACGUUCCCGCCCUUUGCACACACCGCCCG
This 730-nucleotide ribosomal RNA is filed under the name uncultured bacterium. Its description in RNAcentral is "SSU rRNA". It matches the Rfam family "Bacterial small subunit ribosomal RNA", at positions 661 to 1396 of the family's 1533-position model. The record is from RNAcentral.